RNAcentral lists this ribosomal RNA (195 nucleotides) under uncultured bacterium. Its description in RNAcentral is "partial 16S ribosomal RNA". It matches the Rfam family "Bacterial small subunit ribosomal RNA", at positions 1306 to 1500 of the family's 1533-position model. The record is from RNAcentral.
UGCAACUCGACUACAUGAAGCUGGAAUCGCUAGUAAUCGCGGAUCAGAAUGCCGCGGUGAAUACGUUCCCGGGUCUUGUACACACCGCCCGUCACACCAUGGGAGCCGGAAAUGCCCGAAGUCUGUGACUCAACCGAGAGGGGAGAGCAGCCGAAGGUGGAGCUGGUAACUGGGGUGAAGUCGUAACAAGGUAGC